CCCGGGCCAGUCUGGUAACCACUGGAACGGUGGCUAAUACCGGAUGUGCCUAUGGGUGAAAGGUUGGCUGCCUGGAGAUGAGCUCGCGUCUGAUUAGCUAGUUGGUGGUGUAAGAGACUACCAAGGCGACGAUCAGUAGCUGGUCUGAGAGGAUGAUCAGCCACACUGGAACUGAGACACGGUCCAGACUCCUACGGGAGGCAGCAGUGGGGAAUUUUCCGCAAUGGGCGAAAGCCUGACGGAGCAAUACCGCGUGAGGGAGGAAGGCUCUUGGGUUGUAAACCUCUUUUCUCAAGGAAGAAUGAUGACGGUACUUGAGGAAUCAGCAUCGGCUAACUCCGUGCCAGCAGCCGCGGUAAUACGGAGGAUGCAAGCGUUAUCCGGAAUGAUUGGGCGUAAAGCGUCCGUAGGUGGCUGUGUGUGUCUAUUGUUAAAGAGUUUGGCUCAACCAAAUAAGGGCGGUAGAAACUACACAGCUAGAGUGCGUUCGGGGCAGAGGGAAUUCCUGGUGGUGUAGCGGUGAAAUGCGUAGAGAUCAGGAAGAACACCGGUGGCGAAAGCGCUCUGCUAGGCCGCAACUGACACUGAGGGACGAAAGCUAGGGGAGCGAAUGGGAUUAGAUACC
RNAcentral lists this ribosomal RNA (625 nucleotides) under Hapalosiphon welwitschii. Its description in RNAcentral is "bacterial SSU rRNA". It matches the Rfam family "Bacterial small subunit ribosomal RNA", at positions 130 to 786 of the family's 1533-position model. The record is from RNAcentral. Lineage: Bacteria; Bacillati; Cyanobacteriota; Cyanophyceae; Nostocales; Hapalosiphonaceae.